AUUUUCUUACUUCGUCUUUCCCUUAAUAAGUCAUCAAAUUUGGUGCUUUUUGAUCCCCUGUUGCUAUGGGGAACAAAGGAGGAAAUACAAUCGAUUCCUCUAUUUAAGUGGUUCUCUCUUCUCCUUGUUCCUGUUCCUAACUCUUCCCCAGGUAGUUCCCAAUGUUUGGUACUUUCUAUACUUCGUGGGUGCAACAUCAACAAAUUCGCUCAUGAUCAAGUUACAACCUAAGAUCUAUGACCAUAUUAUGCUAACUGUUCGUAUUUCGUUCAUUCCAUCGGUAUGCUCUCAGGUACCUGUAAUUGUGAUCUGUUUGCCAGAACCAAGGGGUCUUUCUGUGGAAACCUUCACGAACAAUCAUCGUUUUUUGAUGGUUUUUCCGCUUCUCACCGCUGCUCUUUCCACACCUCCGGAUAUCUGGUGCCAAAUCGUCGCCCGUUUCCUUAUUUCUUCGAUAAUUGAGUUGACUAUCUUUGUGGCAUCGAUUGUACAAGUUCGCGAAGAGGCUGGACGAGUGGAAUGA
This is a non-coding RNA of Vicia faba (fava bean), 523 nucleotides long. The record is from the annotation of a GenBank genome assembly. Lineage: Eukaryota; Viridiplantae; Streptophyta; Magnoliopsida; Fabales; Fabaceae.